UAGGGAAUCUUCGGCAAUGGACGAAAGUCUGACCGAGCAACGCCGCGUGAGUGAAGAAGGUUUUCGGAUCGUAAAACUCUGUUGUUAGAGAAGAACAAGGACGUUAGUAACUGAACGUCCCCUGACGGUAUCUAACCAGAAAGCCACGGCUAACUACGUGCCAGCAGCCGCGGUAAUACGUAGGUGGCAAGAGUUGUCCGGAUUUAUUGGGCGUAAAGCGAGCGCAGGCGGUUUCUUAAGUCUGAUGUGAAAGCCCCCGGCUCAACCGGGGAGGGUCAUUUGUAACUGGGCGACUUGAGUGCAGAAGGGGAGAGUGGAAGUCCAUGUCUAGCGGUGAAAUUCGUAGAUAUAUGGAGGAACACCAGUGGCGAAGGCGGCUCUCUGGUCUGUAACUGACGCUGAGGCUCGAAAGCGUGGUGAGCAAACAGG
RNAcentral lists this ribosomal RNA (429 nucleotides) under Gemmatimonadota bacterium. RNAcentral describes it as "Gemmatimonadetes bacterium partial 16S ribosomal RNA". It matches the Rfam family "Bacterial small subunit ribosomal RNA", at positions 355 to 776 of the family's 1533-position model. Lineage: Bacteria; Pseudomonadati; Gemmatimonadota. The record is from RNAcentral.